RNAcentral lists this ribosomal RNA (1047 nucleotides) under Shewanella sp. RNAcentral describes it as "bacterial SSU rRNA". It matches the Rfam family "Bacterial small subunit ribosomal RNA", at positions 390 to 1383 of the family's 1533-position model. The record is from RNAcentral. Lineage: Bacteria; Pseudomonadati; Pseudomonadota; Gammaproteobacteria; Alteromonadales; Shewanellaceae.
AGCCAUGCCGCGUGUGUGAAGAAGGCCUUCGGGUUGUAAAGCACUUUCAGCGAGGAGGAAAGGUUAAGUCUUAAUACGGCUUAGCUGUGACGUUACUCGCAGAAGAAGCACCGGCUAACUUCGUGCCAGCAGCCGCGGUAAUACGAGGGGUGCAAGCGUUAAUCGGAAUUACUGGGCGUAAAGCGUACGCAGGCGGUUUGUUAAGCAAGAUGUGAAAGCCCCGGGCUCAACCUGGGAACUGCAUUUUGAACUGGCAAACUAGAGUCUUGUAGAGGGGGGUAGAAUUUCAGGUGUAGCGGUGAAAUGCGUAGAGAUCUGAAGGAAUACCGGUGGCGAAGGCGGCCCCCUGGACAAAGACUGACGCUCAGGUACGAAAGCGUGGGGAGCAAACAGGAUUAGAUACCCUGGUAGUCCACGCCGUAAACGAUGUCUACUCGGAGUUUGGUGUCUUGAACACUGGGCUCUCAAGCUAACGCAUUAAGUAGACCGCCUGGGGAGUACGGCCGCAAGGUUAAAACUCAAAUGAAUUGACGGGGGCCCGCACAAGCGGUGGAGCAUGUGGUUUAAUUCGAUGCAACGCGAAGAACCUUACCUACUCUUGACAUCCAGAGAAUUCGCUAGAGAUAGCUUAGUGCCUUCGGGAACUCUGAGACAGGUGCUGCAUGGCUGUCGUCAGCUCGUGUUGUGAAAUGUUGGGUUAAGUCCCGCAACGAGCGCAACCCUUAUCCUUAUUUGCCAGCACGUAAUGGUGGGAACUUUAGGGGAGACUGCCGGGUGAUAAACCGGGAGGAAGGGGGGGGACGACGCCAAAGUCAUCAUGGGCCCUUACGAAGUAGGGCUUACACACGGUGCCUACAAUGGGUCCGGUACAAAAGGGUUUGCGAAAGCCGCUGAGGGUGGAAGCCUAAUCUUCACAAAAGCCCGGUUCGUAGUCUCGGAUUCGGAAUUCUGGCAACUUCGAACUCCGUUGAAUGUCGGAAAUCGCUUAGUUAAUCCGUAAAAUCAAGAAUUGCUUACUGGUGGAAUUACCGUUUCCCUGGGGCCCUU